This 114-nucleotide ribosomal RNA is filed under the name Streptococcus pneumoniae. The record is from RNAcentral. Lineage: Bacteria; Bacillati; Bacillota; Bacilli; Lactobacillales; Streptococcaceae.
AGUGACGAUAGCCUAGGAGAUACACCUGUACCCAUGCCGAACACAGAAGUUAAGCCCUAGAGCGCCGGAAGUAGUUGGGGGUUGCCCCCUGUGAGAUAGGGAAGUCGCUUAGCU